Molecule: microRNA, 24 nt
Filed under: Ascaris suum (pig roundworm)
Lineage: Eukaryota; Metazoa; Nematoda; Chromadorea; Rhabditida; Ascarididae
Description: Asu-Mir-54-o1_5p* (star (passenger))
Source: RNAcentral
CGGGUGGCAGACUAUCUGGGUAUG